UACCAACUGGUGUAUGUGACACAUAACAAAGACAUUAAUUAUUACGAAGCAGUUAUAACGGAAUAGUUAUUCAGGGUGGCCUUUCAGAUUGUAUGAGUACGAAGGAUGCGACUUAACAUGACAAGAAUCGUCCACCUUAAGGAGCCCGGACAACUUGGAUGCAGAAUGAGUGGCAUUGUUCAGCAUUUCCUGGCCGAAACACGUCAUUGUCAUGUUCACGGUCACGCUGUGCCAGCCCAGAUGCUCUGAAUGAGGGAUGUCAGCCUGAUAGCUGCCUUUCAAUGGGGGCUGCAUCAUCGAGAUGGUGCGAAGAUCCAUUCUUUCGCCCGUGUGGCCCUGCUCGCCGCAGGGCCGUUGCUAAUCCCCGGGGAGUUUUUGCAUUGUGCUGCAGGAGUCAGCGGGUCAAGUUCUUUGAAAGGAGGGUUUAGUCAAACAUCUAUUGGCGAGCCCUGAGGUGGUGUAUAUGGAGAUGUUCACUCAGCUGCUGGUUCACAGAUCACUUCACAGCAUUGGCAGUUCAGCUUGGAAACAGAGAAAAUGCUUCCAGAGACGUAGCCUUUUAUUUAGCCUUGUGUUGAUUUUUAUCUGUUUUAAUGCUUCAGUGCUUAACCAAAACAAAUGUGUGGCGUUUUUAUUUAUAAAAUUAUUUGCACAUUAACCAGUGUUUGUUUCUUUAUAAGGCAUCUUAGCUUGGUUAAUUUUCAUAAACUGCAUUCAGCUUGUUAAAAAAUGUUACCCUGUGCUGGACUGGUGCCCUGUCCAGGGUGAGCCCUGCCCUGAGGAGCCCAUUUGUGUCACUGCUCGCCAAAAGCAGCUGCCUGUG
This is a long non-coding RNA of Paramormyrops kingsleyae, 823 nucleotides long. RefSeq lists it as uncharacterized. NCBI's taxonomy places the organism in Eukaryota, Metazoa, Chordata, Actinopteri, Osteoglossiformes, Mormyridae. The record is from RefSeq and is a predicted model, not a curated record.